Molecule: long non-coding RNA, 985 nt
Filed under: Panax ginseng (ginseng)
Lineage: Eukaryota; Viridiplantae; Streptophyta; Magnoliopsida; Apiales; Araliaceae
Description: long non-coding RNA (PGIN_LNC014141)
Source: RNAcentral
UCAAAUUGUUCAAUAGGCCUUGAGAAUUCCAAAAGGACAAAAUUAUCGAUUUAGCCACCGAAGUUGACACGUUUUAUUGAAUACAUGAUUGAAUUUUUAAUUUUUUAAAUUACCUAAUUAAACUAAUUAUUAUUAUUAAAUUGGGUCAUUCUGUUAAAUCUAGCAACAUGGACUUAAAAAAGAAAAAGAAAAAAAAAAGAGAAAAAGACAUGGCCUUGUCAUACUGGGCCCCAUCUGCAACACACUGCCCCAAAACUAGCCCAACCACCGGCAAGCACAACCCUCUGGUAGUAGAACAGCUAACGACAGAGCAGAUAAAAUUUAAACAAAAACACCCAAAUUGAUUCAAUCAGAAAUGCUAAAAUAAUGAAAGCUCAUGAAUCAGAAGGGAGCAAUCGGGAAAAAACCCCAUGAAUUCCGACCAAAGGUCAAUAAACACAGACCAUUUUCUAGCGAAAUCCCCUGCAAACCAGAUGAAUUGUUAAAGGACGGUAACAAGGAAAGAGACCCAUCAGCCCAAGUAAAAUUAAAUAAGCAGCAAUACAGAAAAACAUAGACUGAAAGCACUAAAAAUCCAAAAGACUAGAUAUGAACAUGAACAAAGAUAUGCAAUAAUCAAACAUGAAACCAAAUCGAGAAGCACACGAAACAGCAGAAGCAGGGCACAAGACCCAUCCGUGAAAUCAUAAGACCCCAAAUCCAUUACCAUCGGAACCGUAGGACGUAAACAAGUCCGAACCCAGAUUUCGGAGAGCUAACCUCCAAUAUCCAAAAACCCAAACCAUUAAACCCCAAGCAAACACCACAUCAGAUCAUAACACUCACUGCCAUCACACAUCAGAUCAUAACACCCACUAAUUCCGUAGGGGCUGAUUAUUUUAUGGGUGAUUUGAAGGUUGUUGAUAUUGAGUCGGACACAGAGGACAUGAGGGUUUGGAUGAUUUUGCAUUGGGUAAUGAUGAUGAGAGUUCUAGUAGUCUUCAAA